UGCGUAGGCGGAUUAAUAAGUCAGUGGUGAAAUCUUUCGGCUCAACCGAGAAACUGCCAUUGAUACUGUUAAUCUUGAGUUCGGUUGAGGUAGGCGGAAUGUGUAAUGUAGCGGUGAAAUGCUUAGAUAUUACACAGAACACCAAUUGCGUAGGAAGCUUACUAGACCGACACUAACGCUGAGGCACGAAAGCGUGGGGAGCGAACAGGAUUAGAUACCCUGGUAGUCC
RNAcentral lists this ribosomal RNA (229 nucleotides) under uncultured bacterium. RNAcentral describes it as "partial 16S ribosomal RNA". It matches the Rfam family "Bacterial small subunit ribosomal RNA", at positions 568 to 796 of the family's 1533-position model. The record is from RNAcentral.